AUGCAUACACAGGUGCACACACACGUGCACACACGCAUGCAUACACGCAUGCACACACACAUGUGCACACACGCAUGCAUACACAGGUGCACACACACGUGCACACAUGCAUGCGUACACAGGUGCAGACACACAUGCACACAUGCAUGCACACAUGCACGCGCACACACGUGCACACAUGCAUGCAUACAGGCGUGCACACACGUGCACACAUGCAUGCAUACACAGGUGCACACACGUGCACACAUGCAUGCAUACACACAUGCACAUACACGUGCACACAUGCAUGCACACACGCAUGCACACACAUGUGCACACACACGUGCACAGGCACGUGCACCCCGCCGUGCCCUGCCCGCAGCCCUGACCCCGGGCAGAGCCCGCCGGGCUGGCGCCGAGCCGGCCACAUUGGGCAACCCGCGGGGCUGCAGACUGCCUGGGGCCAGGGCCGGGGCUGGGGCCAGGCGGGCGCAGAGCGGCCGCGGGGCCGUGCUCACCCCCGCGCUGCAGCGCAGCCCCACUGGGGCAGGCAGCGGCCGGUCCCGCGGCGGCGGCCAGGGCUCUGCACCUCGCGGCCGCCCCUGGCCCCAGCCCGGGCACGUCCCCUCCUGCCCCGCYGCACAGAGGAGGCCCCAGCGAGCUGGGCACGGCGCGGAGCCUCCUACUGCAGCUGAAGCAAUUGCACAGAUGCAUCCUGGCCCCUUGAUCCCACCGUCAGGAAAAAUACCCAUUAUCCGCGUCUGCCACGCUCCCUUCCCUGCUCCCGCCCUCAGGAGCAUCUUGCAGACGGCCGGGGACGGCGGCACGGUGCCCGGGCGGCCGCGGCCAGCAGAGGAUGCUCUGGGAGCAGCCCGGCUCCUCUUCCUCCCUCGCUGGGCGGCAGCGGUGGCCCGUCCUCGUCCUGCCGGCCCGGGCAGGGCUGCUGGAGCGGAGCCCAGGCGGGCGCCCUGCCCUCGCCUGCUGCACCCGGGCCCCGGGAAGCGCAGCGCUCCGAGCUCCCUGCCGGGCCGGCAGAGCCCAGGAACGGCCCUGCUGCUGCCCGGGAGCCCCAGCAGCCCGGCCGCAGCCUAA
Molecule: long non-coding RNA, 1071 nt
Filed under: Apteryx haastii (Great spotted kiwi)
Lineage: Eukaryota; Metazoa; Chordata; Aves; Apterygiformes; Apterygidae
Description: lncRNA (ENSAHAG00000011001.1)
Source: RNAcentral